GAAACUUAAUUGCAAACGUUAAUGUAAAGAUAAUUUAAACUAAAUCAAUCCUUAUAAGCUUCAAUUCCGUACAAAUUUAAAAGGAUAAAAGACCACCAACAAAACACUUUUUAAGUUCAGUGAAAAAUGCUCUGCACAGACAUCUUCGGAAGAUAAUUUUUUUCAAAAAAAAAAUUAGUUAAGAGACUUGUUUAAAUUCCAUUUUUAGUCCAAAUUUCUCAUAGAUUUUUUUUAAAACAUUACCAAUCAUGAAAUAACCAGUGCAAUNAAUAUCGAGCCGAACACGAGUCGAACGCGAGCCGGCUCGCUCGUUUGCCAACCCUAGCUACAAACUCUUUUAAAAUUUUGAUUUUAUCAUCCAACCUUUCAAUACAUUUGAUUUCGAUCAAUCAUAGGCACCUUGAUUUUAAGCUUUAAGCUAAUUACUUUACUAAAUUUAAUAGUUGUAAAAAUUAUAUGAAAUAUACUAAUGUAACUUAUAAAGAUAAGUGAUAAAGAUAAAUGACACACAAAUUUUAAAAUCCAAAUGCCGUGGACCGACUCAAAUCAAACAAAUUUAAAGAUUACAUAGUAAAAUUAAAAAUUUUAAAGGUUGAAUAACCAAAUCAAAAUAGCUCAUAAAGAUAAAUUCUAUACAUAUUUAGCAAAAAAAAAAAUACUAAAAUGUAACAGUUCCCAACCUAUAUCUAAAUAAAACAAAGGAAAAAGUAUAGAAGGUUAAAUUACACUUACGGUCAUCAAACUACUGCGAUAUGUGUGACAUUUUAGUCCUCAAAUUUAAAUUUUUGUUUGACUUUUUAUCUUAAAUAUUCUAAAUUAUUACAAACUAAUUUAAUUGGCUAACUAUUAACAAAUUAUUAAUGUAAAAACAAUGUGACUUCUUAAUUAUUAUUACAUUAUCAAUCACAAUACUACUUCCACAUUAUUUUUACAUUAAUAAUUUGUCAAUAUCUACCUACAUAAAUUGUAUUGUGAAACUUAAUUGCAAACGUUAUGUAAAGAUAAUUUAAACUAAUUCAAUCGUUAUAAGCUUCAAUUCCGUACAAAUUUAAAAGGAUAAAAGACCACCAACAAAACACUUUUAAGUUCAGUGAAAAAUGCUCUGCAGAGACAUCUUCGGAAGAGAAUUUUUAUCAAAAAAAAAAAAAAAAGUUAAGAGACUUGUUUAAAUUCCAUUUUGAGUCCAAAUUUCUCAUAUAUUUUUUUUUAAAACAUUACCAAUCAUGAAAUAACCAGUGCAAUCACAAGGAAUAGCUAGAUGAUCAAAACUUCCCAAACACUUCUACAAUCCAGAUGUGAUGUAAAGAGACUACAAAAAGUAGAGAGGAGAAUAAGCGCUCACA
RNAcentral lists this long non-coding RNA (1343 nucleotides) under Ananas comosus (pineapple). Its description in RNAcentral is "long non-coding RNA (ACOM_LNC032537)". Lineage: Eukaryota; Viridiplantae; Streptophyta; Magnoliopsida; Poales; Bromeliaceae. The record is from RNAcentral.